GUCUACGGCCCUACCACCCUGAACACGCCCGAUCUCAUCUGAUCUCGGAAGCUAAGCAGGGUCGGGCCUGGUUAGUACUUGGAUGGGAGACCACCUGGGAAUACUGGGUGCUGUAGGCU
Molecule: ribosomal RNA, 119 nt
Filed under: Microcebus murinus (gray mouse lemur)
Lineage: Eukaryota; Metazoa; Chordata; Mammalia; Primates; Cheirogaleidae
Source: RNAcentral